AUACGUAGGUGGCAAGCGUUGUCCGGAAUUAUUGGGCGUAAAGCGCGCGCAGGCGGCCUUUUAAGUCUGAUGUGAAAGCCCACGGCUUAACCGUGGAAGGUCAUUGGAAACUGGAAGGCUUGAGUACAGAAGAGGAAAGCGGAAUUCCACGUGUAGCGGUGAAAUGCGUAGAGAUGUGGAGGAACACCAGUGGCGAAGGCGGCUUUCUGGUCUGUAACUGACGCUGAGGCGCGAAAGCGUGGGGAGCAAACAGGAUUAGAUACCCUGGUAGUCCACGCCGUAAACGAUGAGUGCUAAGUGUUAGGGGGUUUCCGCCCCUUAGUGCUGGAGCAAACGCAUUAAGCACUCCGCCUGGGGAGUACGGUCGCAAGACUGAA
This 377-nucleotide ribosomal RNA is filed under the name uncultured bacterium. RNAcentral describes it as "bacterial SSU rRNA". It matches the Rfam family "Bacterial small subunit ribosomal RNA", at positions 523 to 898 of the family's 1533-position model. The record is from RNAcentral.